Long non-coding RNA from Cyprinus carpio (common carp), 1011 nucleotides. The record is from Ensembl. NCBI's taxonomy places the organism in Eukaryota, Metazoa, Chordata, Actinopteri, Cypriniformes, Cyprinidae.
AUGAGUGUAGCGGAGGUGAAGGCUCUUGGCCCAAAGCAGAAGGUAGGAGAGGUCCGUGGGAAGGUUCGAGUACACAGUUCCUUAAGCAGAAUGGUGACGGUCCGAGGCUCGGACGUUGAGCUCAAAGAAGUAGUAAUCUGCGAUGGGACGGGCGAGAUCAGCGUGACGUUGUGGGACAGCUACGUUAACCAGGCUGAGGGCGGCAAGUCGUAUGCAUUUAAGAACUUGUGUACGAGAGAAAGAGAUGGGAGCAUCCGUCUGUGUACCGGCCCGGGAAGCACCAUCGAGCAGAUCGCAGAUUUGGAAGUUCCACACGGGGAAGGCGGCGAGGAGGAGGACGGAUCAAAGGCGCUUUUCAGCGCCACUUUAAAGGGCAUCGACGUCGUGAUUCAGCGAAAGUGUUCCAGCUGUCAGUUUAACCAGACAGAGUUCGUAGAGAAGUCCCUGACACACAGGUGUGAGAGAUGCAACCAGUAGCAGGCGUCACUAGCUUUCUCGACCUGUUUUGGAGGAAAAGCCAUCUUCUCGACUGCCGACGGCGACGAGAGAGUGCUGCUGACCAGCUCCGCGCUGACGACCUACCUGCGCGCCGCCGGACUCAGCAGUGCGUUUAACGAUGCGGAGGCCAUCGAAGAUCACUUUCUUCAGUCGGCAGUUUUCGACGUAAAAGUGAACGUGGAUGGCUUUCUUCUAUCUAUCGAAGCUGCGGAUGCGAGACGUGCUUCCGGCGCGGAUGACCAGCGGGCCGGCGAUACAGACGAAGGUGCGUCGCAGAUGGCAGAGCAUGCUGAAGGGCAGGUCGCAGAGGAAGGCGGCGCGGCGACUCCUGGCUCGGUGGCCUAAACAAGUUUCGCAGCUUCGUGAAGAAGAGCAUGGUUUGACGAAUAGGCUAUGUUUCCGUAAUAACCUAUUGUGUUUUACGUUUCCUUUAAAUGUUCAGUAGUUCACCAAGUUUUCUGCUCGUUUAUAGGCUGUAAUAAAUGUUAAAUAAAUAUAUUUCGUUUAUCUAAA